RNAcentral lists this ribosomal RNA (253 nucleotides) under uncultured bacterium. Its description in RNAcentral is "partial 16S ribosomal RNA". It matches the Rfam family "Bacterial small subunit ribosomal RNA", at positions 524 to 776 of the family's 1533-position model. The record is from RNAcentral.
UACGUAGGGGGCUAGCGUUGUCCGGAAUCAUUGGGCGUAAAGCGCGUGCAGGCGGCUCGGUAAGUCUGCUGUGAAAGUCCAGGGCUCAACCCUGGGAUGCCGGUGGAUACUGUCGAGCUCGAGUCCGGAAGAGGCGAGUGGAAUUCCUGGUGUAGCGGUGAAAUGCGCAGAUAUCAGGAGGAACACCAAUGGCGAAGGCAGCUCGCUGGGACGUGACUGACGCUGAGACGCGAAAGCGUGGGGAGCAAACAGG